RNAcentral lists this ribosomal RNA (468 nucleotides) under uncultured bacterium. RNAcentral's name for it is "partial 16S ribosomal RNA". It matches the Rfam family "Bacterial small subunit ribosomal RNA", at positions 28 to 507 of the family's 1533-position model. The record is from RNAcentral.
GACGAACGCUGGCGGCGUGCUUAACACAUGCAAGUCGAACGGAAAGGCCCUGCACUUGUGGGGUGCUCGAGUGGCGAACGGGGGAGUAUCACGUGUGUAACCUGCCCCUUACUUUGGGGUACCUUCAGGAAACUGGGGCGCAUAUCGCACAUGAGAUCUUGAUGCAUGGGGGGGGUGGGAGAGUGUCGGCGGUUCGGGAUGGACUCGUGGCUUAUCAGCUUGUUGGUGGGGUAGUGGCUUACCAAGGCUUUGACGGGUAGCCGGCCUGAGAGGGUGACCGGCCACAUUGGGACUGAGAUACGGCCCAGACUCCUACGGGAGGCAGCAGUGGGGAAUAGUGCACAAUGGGCGGAAGCCUGAUGCAGCAACGCCGCGUGCGGGAUGACGGCCGUCGGGUUGUAAACCGCUUUCGCCUGUGACGAAGCGUGAGUGACGGUAAUGGGUAAAGAAGCACCGGCUAACUACGUG